Molecule: unclassified non-coding RNA, 208 nt
Filed under: Hevea brasiliensis (rubber tree)
Lineage: Eukaryota; Viridiplantae; Streptophyta; Magnoliopsida; Malpighiales; Euphorbiaceae
Source: RNAcentral
CUCCUUGUUCGCCAGAUUUUUUUUCACAAUGAUCCAAGAAAUUUCACAGAUGUUGGGGGUGGUGUUCUGGGCUGUAGAGGGUUUCACUCAAGUUUUAGAACCACUCAGGGGGGCUUAUCUCUGAAUAUUGAUGUAUCUACAACCAUGAUAAUUCAGCCUGAUCCUGUUGUGGAUUUUCUAAUUGCCAACCAAAAUGCAAGAGACCCCC